RNAcentral lists this ribosomal RNA (450 nucleotides) under uncultured bacterium. RNAcentral's name for it is "partial 16S ribosomal RNA". It matches the Rfam family "Bacterial small subunit ribosomal RNA", at positions 354 to 796 of the family's 1533-position model. The record is from RNAcentral.
GUGGGGAAUAUUGGACAAUGGGCGCAAGCCUGAUCCAGCAAUGCCGCGUGGGUGAAGAAGGCCUUCGGGUCGUAAAGCUCUGUCAUCAGGGACGAACGGCCGGUGGAGUGGAAAGCCACCGGAUUGACGGUACCUGAGAAGGAAGCCACGGCUAACUACGUGCCAGCAGCCGCGGUAAUACGUAGGUGGCAAGCGUUGUCCGGAAUUAUUGGGCGUAAAGCGCGCGCAGGUGGGAUCUUAAGUCCAUUUUUAAAGUUCGGAGCUCAACUCCGUGAUGGGAUGGAAACUGGGAUUCUUGAGUACCGGAGAGGAAAGCGGAAUUCCCCGUGUAGCGGUGAAAUGCGUAGAUAUGGGGAGGAACACCAGUGGCGAAGGCGGCUUUCUGGACGGUGUCUGACACUGAGGCGCGAAAGCCAGGGGAGCGAACGGGAUUAGAAACCCGGGUAGUCC